CAUAGCUGGACAAGUAAAGUUGGGAUGAGAGUGGACAAUGAUACCUUAGACUCAUACAGGCUCUCUCUCCUCUAUCAGAAGAUAAUGUCCAAGAGAAGACCUGAGUCAGAACAGAGCCAGCCAUGGUCAAGACUCUCCUCCUGAGAAACAUGAAGUGCACAGGUCCUGCGGAAGGAAGGGUCUAGUCUCCAGUGGACAGCAGAGCUGGUGUGUCAGGACCCUGGUUAAGGACAAAGGAAAAGAUGGAAGGUGCAGUAGCUCAUGCCUGUCAUUCCAGCUGUUGGGAGGCAGAGGGUCGAAAGGAGCAAUCGAGUUAUCUUCGUAGAAUCCGCUUGACAAAAGCCGGUUACCUGUCUCGUCAACAGCAUGAGCAAGAUGGCUGAAGUAAGUCAAAUCACUGUUCCUGAACUCACUUUCAACCCCCCCCCCCCCCAGCACAGAAGUGAACGGCUCCACUCUUCACUGUCCCCGGGAACAAGCGCUGCUAAUACCUAGAACAAUGCUAAGCACCAUUGCUAACCGUUUUGGGACUCACUCGGCAGGUGUUUAUUGAGCACUGACUGUGUGCCUCUCCUGGGUCUCAGAACCGGGGAUGCAAAAUUGAAUAAGUCUUCUGAACAAAGAGGGCUUACAGUGGCAGCGAUUUCCGGCAAUUCAGUACGCUGUGCUUUUGUUGUGUCUCAUUUUACUGAAAGUGUAUUUUUAAAGAAUGUUUGGGAAUUAUAGCCCUACGAUAAAAUAUGUUUUGUUUCACUUCCUUUAUGACAGCAGUGACCUUCUGACCAAAAGCAAAAUUCUGGC
RNAcentral lists this long non-coding RNA (801 nucleotides) under Mus musculus (house mouse). RNAcentral's name for it is "elncRNA-EC14". The record is from RNAcentral. Lineage: Eukaryota; Metazoa; Chordata; Mammalia; Rodentia; Muridae.